UGGGGAAUAUUGCACAAUGGGCGCAAGCCUGAUGCAGCCAUGCCGCGUGUAUGAAGAAGGCCUUCGGGUUGUAAAGUACUUUCAGCGGGGAGGAAGGUGUUGUGGUUAAUAACCACAGCAAUUGACGUUACCCGC
Molecule: ribosomal RNA, 135 nt
Filed under: uncultured bacterium
Lineage: Bacteria
Description: partial 16S ribosomal RNA
Rfam family: Bacterial small subunit ribosomal RNA
Source: RNAcentral